UUCUGUUUGGCUGCUACACAUUGACUGAAAUUCUUCGAAUUCUGAGUAGCAGUUGGCUAAGUGUCUGGACCAAAGCAAGUGCCUCACAGAGCAAUGGAGCUGGAUUUUAUAUCUUGGUGUAUGCUAUUUUGUCAUUCAGUCAGGUGAUUGUAACACUGGCAAAUUCCUUCUGGUUGAUUAUCUCUAGUCUAAAUGCAGCUAAAGGGA
Molecule: unclassified non-coding RNA, 207 nt
Filed under: Hevea brasiliensis (rubber tree)
Lineage: Eukaryota; Viridiplantae; Streptophyta; Magnoliopsida; Malpighiales; Euphorbiaceae
Source: RNAcentral